CGAUGUGUGAUGGCGUUUCCUUGGACGAGAUGAUGAUUUUGGCGAGAAAAAUAUUGCGUUCUAACCUUCAGGUUCCUAAAUAUGAAAAGUAAUGUUCUUUCAAGAAAGUCAACGAGGUCCCUUAUCCCUUGUUUGCUAAUCCAAUGGCUGCUACCCUUGAAUCUCCCUAUUUAGCUCCUUACACAGUCCCUCUUGGUUUGAGGGUAAUCCUUCGCUACUGAUCAUGGACUCCAUUGGUGAAACCGAAAACCGACGAGAG
Daphnia pulex (common water flea) is the source of this 259-nucleotide long non-coding RNA. RefSeq lists it as uncharacterized. The transcript is spliced from 3 exons. Lineage: Eukaryota; Metazoa; Arthropoda; Branchiopoda; Diplostraca; Daphniidae. The record is from RefSeq and is a predicted model, not a curated record.